RNAcentral lists this ribosomal RNA (395 nucleotides) under uncultured bacterium. RNAcentral describes it as "partial 16S ribosomal RNA". It matches the Rfam family "Bacterial small subunit ribosomal RNA", at positions 338 to 730 of the family's 1533-position model. The record is from RNAcentral.
CCUACGGGAGGCAGCAGUGAGGAAUAUUGGUCAAUGGCCGCAAGGCUGAACCAGCCAAGUCGCGUGAAGGAUGAAGGCCCUAUGGUUUGUAAACUUCUUUUAUAGGGGAAUAAAGGUAUUCACGUGUGGCUUUUUGCAUGUACCCUAUGAAUAAGGAUCGGCUAAUUCCGUGCCAGCAGCCGCGGUAAUACGGAGGAUGCGGGCGUUAUCCGGAUUUAUUGGGUUUAAAGGGAGCGGAGGUUGUUGUUUAAGUUCGUGGUGAAAGUUUGUGGCUCAACCGUAAAAUUGCCGUUGAAACUGGAAGACUUGAGUGUGUUUGAGGUAGGCGGAAUGCGUGGUGUAGCGGUGAAAUGCUUAGAUAUCACGCAGAACUCCGAUUGCGAAGGCAGCUUACU